Non-coding RNA from Podarcis lilfordi (Lilford's wall lizard), 71 nucleotides. NCBI's taxonomy places the organism in Eukaryota, Metazoa, Chordata, Lepidosauria, Squamata, Lacertidae. The record is from the annotation of a GenBank genome assembly.
GCCCUAGCUCAGUCAGUAAAAGCAUGUGACUCUUAAUCUUAGGGUCAUGGGUUCAAGUUCUAGGAUGACCU